UCUCAAUUCACUCCUCCUCUGUUUCUGUUUAGGAAAGGGCGGGUCUCCCAUGAGUAUCAACAAAACAUGGCAUAUCAAGUUGCAGUAAGACUAAGCACCUCCCCUUGUAUUAAGGCUGGGCAAGGUGACCCAGUAUGAGGAGUAGAAACCCAAAAGCCAGUAAAAGAGACAUCCUCUGCUCCCACUGUUAGGAGUCCCACAAGAGGACCGUGCCUUACAUAUAACACAUGUGUAACAGCUAACAUAUAUGCAGAGUGCCUAGAUGCAAAUUGCUUUUUAAAGAUGUGUUUUAUUUAUAUUUAUUUAUGUAAGUGUGUAUGUGCGCAUAUGAAUGUGGGUGUCUGCAGCCACCCUGAAGCCAGAGUUUUUCUUCUUGCAUAUGACAAUGUCAUUUGAGUACAACAUCACUGUUACAGAUGCCAGAACAGUGAGAGAAAGGAGAAAGUGGCCAGGAUGAGACUCUAAGAGGAGAAAAAUGAGAAGCCAUUUGGGUACCCUAGUUCUCAGUGCCUUUUGCUCACCUUUGGACUGGUGAUUCCCAAAUACUGCAAUCACAUGAAGAAUUUAUGGAGAGUUCACAUGCCUGCACUCUGCCCCAGUACUCGAUCACAAUCGAUGGAGGCUGCUGCCAGAAGAUGGGUUCCAGAUUUAAGGUGGAUCUUUCUGCCUCAAAAGAUACAGAUUUAGCAUGGCUCUUCCCACUUCAAAUGAUUCAAUCAAGCAAAAGCCCUCACAGACCUUCCAGUGACCCACAAUUGCCGCUCCAUUCAGAUAAACCUGCCCUGAGCUCCAGAGGUCUCUUAAUUCCUCUGCCUGUCCCCUUACUAAAGGGCCUGACCUCUCACUGCUCCCUCUGGACCCUGCUUCUCUUGACGUCACAGCAGUUCCUACGGCUCCACUUCCUCGUGUCUAGAAGCUUUUGGAUCUCAGCAGUCUUCUCCAGAGUUUACUGUUCUCCCCACAGCCUCUCAUGCUGGUCUUUACAGUGCGUAUUCAUUGUCCGUGUUGGCACUCCUACUAGGUAGUCAUUCAUAUUAGAGGAGAAAU
Non-coding RNA from Peromyscus maniculatus bairdii (prairie deer mouse), 1047 nucleotides. Lineage: Eukaryota; Metazoa; Chordata; Mammalia; Rodentia; Cricetidae. The record is from RefSeq and is a predicted model, not a curated record.